Molecule: ribosomal RNA, 253 nt
Filed under: uncultured bacterium
Lineage: Bacteria
Description: partial 16S ribosomal RNA
Rfam family: Bacterial small subunit ribosomal RNA
Source: RNAcentral
UACGUAGGGGGCUAGCGUUGUCCGGAAUCAUUGGGCGUAAAGAGCGUGUAGGCGGCCCGGUAAGUCCGCUGUGAAAGUCGGGGGCUCAACCCUCGAAUGCCGGUGGAUACUGUCGGGCUAGAGUGCGGAAGAGGCGAGUGGAAUUCCUGGUGUAGCGGUGAAAUGCGCAGAUAUCAGGAGGAACACCAAUUGCGAAGGCAGCUCGCUGGGCCGUUCCUGACGCUGAUGAGCGAAAGCCAGGGGAGCAAACGGG